Molecule: ribosomal RNA, 252 nt
Filed under: uncultured Bacteroidales bacterium
Lineage: Bacteria; Pseudomonadati; Bacteroidota; Bacteroidia; Bacteroidales
Description: partial 16S ribosomal RNA
Rfam family: Bacterial small subunit ribosomal RNA
Source: RNAcentral
UACGGAGGAUGCGAGCGUUAUCCGGAUUUAUUGGGUUUAAAGGGUGCGUAGGCGGUCCGUUAAGUCAGCGGUAAAAUUGCGGGGCUCAACCCCGUCGAGCCGUUGAAACUGGCAGACUUGAGUUGGCGAGAAGUACGCGGAAUGCGCGGUGUAGCGGUGAAAUGCAUAGAUAUCGCGCAGAACCCCGAUUGCGAAGGCAGCCUGCCGGCCCCACACUGACGCUGAGGCUCGAAAGUGUGGGGAGCAAACAGG